Molecule: ribosomal RNA, 467 nt
Filed under: uncultured bacterium
Lineage: Bacteria
Description: partial 16S ribosomal RNA
Rfam family: Bacterial small subunit ribosomal RNA
Source: RNAcentral
ACGAACGCUGGCGGCGUGCUUAACACAUGCCAGUCGAACGGAAAGGCCCUGCUUUUGUGGGGUGCUCGAGUGGCGAACGGGUGAGUAACACGUGAUUAACCUGCCCUUGGCUUUGGGAUAACUUCAGGAAACUGGGGCUAAUACCGGAUAGGAGCUCCUGCGGCUUGGGGGGGGUGGGAAAGUUUUGGCGGUUGGGGAUGGACUCGCGGCUUAUCAGCUUGUUGGUGGGGUAGUGGCUUACCAAGGCUUUGACGGGUAGCCGGCCUGAGAGGGUGACCGGCCACAUUGGGACUGAGAUACGGCCCAGACUCCUACGGGAGGCAGCAGUGGGGAAUAUUGCACAAUGGGCGGAAGCCUGAUGCAGCAACGCCGCGUGCGGGAUGACGGCCUUCGGGUUGUAAACCGCUUUCGCCUGUGACGAAGCGUGAGUGACGGUAAUGGGUAAAGAAGCACCGGCUAACUACGUG